RNAcentral lists this ribosomal RNA (479 nucleotides) under uncultured bacterium. RNAcentral describes it as "bacterial SSU rRNA". It matches the Rfam family "Bacterial small subunit ribosomal RNA", at positions 27 to 518 of the family's 1533-position model. The record is from RNAcentral.
GAACGAACGCUGGUGGCGUGUCUUAUACAUGCAAGUCGAGCGAGGCAGCAAUGCCGAGCGGCGAACGGGUGAGUAACGCGUAAGCAAUCUGCCCCAUAUCAGGAAAUACCCGUGCCAACGCGCGGUUAAUGUCCAGGAGAGUGGCCCUCCGCAUGGAGGGUUGACUAGAGAUUUAUCGGUAUGGGAUGAGCUUGCGUCCGAUUAGCUAGUUGGCGGGGCAACGGCCCACCAAGGCGACGAUCGGUAGCCGGCCUGAGAGGGUGAUCGGCCACAUUGGGACUGAGAUACGGCCCAGACUCCUACGGGAGGCAGCAGUAGGGAAUAUUGCACAAUGGGGGAAACCCUGAUGCAGCAACGCCGCGUGUGGGAAGAAGCAUUUCGGUGUGUAAACCACUGUCAUGAGGGAAUAAGGCCCGCCUUCGGACGGGAUUGAAUGUACCUUGAAAGGAAGCACCGGCAAACUUCGUGCCAGCAGCUGC